This 508-nucleotide ribosomal RNA is filed under the name Rhodotorula mucilaginosa. Its description in RNAcentral is "eukaryotic LSU rRNA". It matches the Rfam family "Eukaryotic large subunit ribosomal RNA", at positions 125 to 649 of the family's 3401-position model. Lineage: Eukaryota; Fungi; Basidiomycota; Microbotryomycetes; Sporidiobolales; Sporidiobolaceae. The record is from RNAcentral.
GCACCUUCGGUGUCCGAGUUGUAAUCUCUAGAAAUGUUUUCCGCGUUGGACCGCACACAAGUCUGUUGGAAUACAGCGGCAUAGUGGUGAGACCCCCGUAUAUGGUGCGGACGCCCAGCGCUUUGUGAUACAUUUUCGAAGAGUCGAGUUGUUUGGGAAUGCAGCUCAAAUUGGGUGGUAAAUUCCAUCUAAAGCUAAAUAUUGGCGAGAGACCGAUAGCGAACAAGUACCGUGAGGGAAAGAUGAAAAGCACUUUGGAAAGAGAGUUAACAGUACGUGAAAUUGUUGGAAGGGAAACGCUUGAAGUCAGACUUGCUUGCCGAGCAAUCGGUUUGCAGGCCAGCAUCAGUUUUCCGGGAUGGAUAAUGGUAAAGAGAAGGUAGCAGUUUCGGCUGUGUUAUAGCUCUCUACUGGAUACAUCCUGGGGGACUGAGGAACGCAGUGUGCCUUUGGCGGGGGUUUCGACCUCUUCACACUUAGGAUGCUGGUGGAAUGGCUUUAAACGACC